This 422-nucleotide ribosomal RNA is filed under the name uncultured bacterium. RNAcentral describes it as "partial 16S ribosomal RNA". It matches the Rfam family "Bacterial small subunit ribosomal RNA", at positions 360 to 774 of the family's 1533-position model. The record is from RNAcentral.
AAUAUUGGACAAUGGGCGAAAGCCUGAUCCAGCCAUGCCGCGUGUGUGAAGAAGGUCUUCGGAUUGUAAAGCACGUUAAGUUGGGAGGAAGGGCAGUAAGUUAAUACCUUGCUGUUUUUACGUUACCGACAGAAUAAGCACCGGCUAACUUCGUGCCAGCAGCCGCGGUAAUACGAAGGGUGCAAGCGUUAAUCGGAAUUACUGGGCGUAAAGCGCGCGUAGGCGGUUCGGAAAGAAAGAUGUGAAAGCCCCGGGCUCAACCUGGGAACUGCUUUCAAAACUGGCAAGCUAGAGUAUGGCAGAGGGUGGUGGAAUUUCCUGUGUAGCGGUGAAAUGCGUAGAUAUAGGAAGGAACACCAGUGGCGAAGGCGACCACCUGGGCUAAUACUGACACUGAGGUGCGAAAGCGUGGGGAGCAAACA